UUAUUUGAGAGUUUGAUCCUGGCUCAGGACGAACGCUGGCGGCGUGCCUAAUACAUGCAAGUUGAGCGCUGAAAGUUGGUACUUGUACCGACUGGAUGAGCAGCGAACGGGUGAGUAACGCGUGGGGAAUCUGCCUUUGAGCGGGGGACAA
This 151-nucleotide ribosomal RNA is filed under the name Lactococcus lactis. RNAcentral's name for it is "partial 16S ribosomal RNA". It matches the Rfam family "Bacterial small subunit ribosomal RNA", at positions 1 to 146 of the family's 1533-position model. The record is from RNAcentral. Lineage: Bacteria; Bacillati; Bacillota; Bacilli; Lactobacillales; Streptococcaceae.